GAUGCUUUUCACUACGAGUCUAUAAUCCAUACUAACACUUCCUUCAGUGAAAAAGUCCAUCCCUUGUUGUCCUCUCACAUCAAAAUCCA
Molecule: long non-coding RNA, 89 nt
Organism: Sinocyclocheilus grahami
Lineage: Eukaryota; Metazoa; Chordata; Actinopteri; Cypriniformes; Cyprinidae
Exons: 3
Source: RefSeq, a predicted model, not a curated record